This 68-nucleotide transfer RNA is filed under the name Abia mengmeng. Its description in RNAcentral is "tRNA-Phe". It matches the Rfam family "tRNA". From Rfam's summary of the family: Transfer RNA (tRNA) molecules are approximately 80 nucleotides in length. Their secondary structure includes four short double-helical elements and three loops (D, anti-codon, and T loops). Further hydrogen bonds mediate the characteristic L-shaped molecular structure. tRNAs have two regions of fundamental functional importance: the anti-codon, which is responsible for specific mRNA codon recognition, and the 3' end, to which the tRNAs corresponding amino acid is attached (by aminoacyl-tRNA synthetases). tRNAs cope with the degeneracy of the genetic code in two manners: having more than one tRNA (with a specific anti-codon) for a particular amino acid; and 'wobble' base-pairing, i.e. permitting non-standard base-pairing at the 3rd anti-codon position. Lineage: Eukaryota; Metazoa; Arthropoda; Insecta; Hymenoptera; Cimbicidae. The record is from RNAcentral.
GUUUAAAUAGCUUAAAAUUUAAAGCGUAUCAUUGAAGAUGAUAUUAUGAUUAUUAUAAUCUUUAAACA